ACGGGGUGCAGCAGGCGCGAAAACUUCACACUGGGGGGAACCCCGAUGAGGGAAAUCCUAGCUGCUAGGACAUUUGUUCUAGCUUUUCUCAAGCGUAGAUAACUUGAGGAAUAAGGGCUGGGUAAGACGGGUGCCAGCCGCCGCGGUAAUACCUGCAGCCCAAGUGGUGGUCGAUUUUAUUGAGUCUAAAACGUUCGUAGCCGGUUUGGUAAAUCUUUGGGUAAAUCGGGAAGCUUAACUUUCCGACUUCCGAAGAGACUGUCAAACUUGGGACCGGGAGAGGCUAGAGGUACUUCUGGGGUAGGGGUAAAAUCCUGUAAUCCUAGAAGGACCACCGGUGGCGAAGGCGUCUAGCCUAGAACGGAUCCGACGGUGAGGGACGAAGCCCUGGGUCGCAAACGGGAUUAGAUGCCCCGGUAGUUCCAGGGUGUAACCGCUGCAGACUUGGUGUUGAAGGCUCUUCGGGGGCAUUCAGGUGCCGGAGAGAAGUUGUUAAGUCUUGCUACUUGGGGAGUACGUCCGCAAGGAAUGAAACUUAAAGGAAUUGGCCGGGGAGCAC
RNAcentral lists this ribosomal RNA (559 nucleotides) under uncultured archaeon. RNAcentral's name for it is "bacterial SSU rRNA". It matches the Rfam family "Archaeal small subunit ribosomal RNA", at positions 325 to 879 of the family's 1478-position model. The record is from RNAcentral.